AUACUUGCAAAAAAGAAAAUAAAGUCAGUGACAAAAGAAGUCACCAUGCUCUCCUCAUUCAUGAUUUGAGCAUGAUGAUGAAGCUUCUUUGGUCCUCGUAAAUCCAUAGCACCUCCCCUUCCUUUGUUGUUCAUCUUCUUUCCCCUUUGACUCUCAGAUAUGGACAUUGCAUCUUAUCAUUGUUCACUAUCCUUCUCCCUUUUGAUUCAAGGUCCCAGAAACCAAAGCAUUCUAUGUCUCUAGAAUCUAAUGCAUAAUUUUCUAAAUAAUCAGCCAGUUUAUUUCCUUCCCUAAGUAUAUGUGACAUCCUGAUGUUGAGUCCUUCCAUUAACUGCUCAAUCUCCUCAAUAUACUCAAUAAUUCGCCGAGUUGGUUUCCAUGUCUUUUCUAUAGUAUUCUUCAUCACCAUUGAAUCAAUCUGCAACGAUAACGGCAUAUAAUUGUUCAUUCUGGAAAAU
RNAcentral lists this long non-coding RNA (458 nucleotides) under Nicotiana benthamiana. Its description in RNAcentral is "long non-coding RNA (NBEN_LNC026760)". Lineage: Eukaryota; Viridiplantae; Streptophyta; Magnoliopsida; Solanales; Solanaceae. The record is from RNAcentral.